RNAcentral lists this ribosomal RNA (301 nucleotides) under uncultured bacterium. RNAcentral describes it as "partial 16S ribosomal RNA". It matches the Rfam family "Bacterial small subunit ribosomal RNA", at positions 509 to 807 of the family's 1533-position model. The record is from RNAcentral.
CAGCAGCCGCGGGAAUACGAAGGGGGCUAGCGUUGUUCGGAAUUACUGGGCGUAAAGGGCGCGUAGGCGGCCAUUCAAGUUAGAUGUGAAAGCCCUGGGCUCAACCUUGGAACUGCCUUUGAUACUGGGGAUCUCGAGUUCGGGAGAGGUGAGUGGAACUGCGAGUGUAGAGGUGAAAUUCGUAGAUAUUCGCAAGAACACCAGUGGCGAAGGCGGCUCACUGGCCCGAUACUGACGCUGAGGUGCGAAAGCGUGGGGAGCAAACAGGAUUAGAUACCCGAGUAGUCCCUGUCUCUUAUAC